Molecule: ribosomal RNA, 197 nt
Filed under: Staphylococcus aureus
Lineage: Bacteria; Bacillati; Bacillota; Bacilli; Caryophanales; Staphylococcaceae
Description: partial 23S ribosomal RNA
Rfam family: Bacterial large subunit ribosomal RNA
Source: RNAcentral
GUGCCAACGGCAUAGCUGGGUAGCUAUGUGUGGACGGGAUAAGUGCUGAAAGCAUCUAAGCAUGAAGCCCCCCUCAAGAUGAGAUUUCCCAACUUCGGUUAUAAGAUCCCUCAAAGAUGAUGAGGUUAAUAGGUUCGAGGUGGAAGCAUGGUGACAUGUGGAGCUGACGAAUACUAAUCGAUCGAAGACUUAAUCAA